UGGAAUAUCGCCAAGUGGUAAAGGCACUGAUUUUUGAUAUCAGCAAUCAUAGGUUCAAAUCCUUUUAUUCCAA
Molecule: transfer RNA, 73 nt
Filed under: Chroomonas placoidea
Lineage: Eukaryota; Cryptophyceae; Pyrenomonadales; Chroomonadaceae
Description: tRNA-Gln
Rfam family: tRNA
About the family: Transfer RNA (tRNA) molecules are approximately 80 nucleotides in length. Their secondary structure includes four short double-helical elements and three loops (D, anti-codon, and T loops).
Source: RNAcentral